GACGAACGCUGGCGGCGUGCUUAACACAUGCAAGUCGAACGAUGAAGCCGGAGCUUGCUCUGGUGAAUUAGUGGCGAACGGGUGAGUAACACGUGAGUAACCUGCCCUUGACUCUGGGAUAACUGCGGGAAACUGUAGCUAAUACCGGAUACGACCCUCGGAGGCAUCUCCUGGGGGUGGAAAGAAUUUCGGUCAAGGAUGGACUCGCGGCCUAUCAGCUAGUUGGUGAGGUAAAGGCUCACCAAGGCGACGACGGGUAGCCGGCCUGAGAGGGUGACCGGCCACACUGGGACUGAGACACGACCCAGACUCCUCCGGGAGGCAGCAGUGGGGAAUAUUGCACAAUGGGCGCAAGCCUGAUGCAGCAACGCCGCGUGAGGGAUGCCGGCCUUCGGGUUGUAAACCUUUUUUAGCAGGGAAGAAGCGAAAGUGACGGUACCUGCAGAAAAAGCACCGGCUAACUACGUGCCAGCCGCCGCAGUAA
This 484-nucleotide ribosomal RNA is filed under the name uncultured bacterium. Its description in RNAcentral is "partial 16S ribosomal RNA". It matches the Rfam family "Bacterial small subunit ribosomal RNA", at positions 28 to 523 of the family's 1533-position model. The record is from RNAcentral.